Salvia miltiorrhiza (redroot sage) is the source of this 980-nucleotide long non-coding RNA. RefSeq lists it as uncharacterized. The transcript is spliced from 3 exons. The record is from RefSeq and is a predicted model, not a curated record. Lineage: Eukaryota; Viridiplantae; Streptophyta; Magnoliopsida; Lamiales; Lamiaceae.
AGAUUAUAAAUCUAUACAUCUUGGUGAUACACCGGUUGGUGGGCGAGAAUUCGAAUAUCCAAAUAGGCUUAAAGCCUAGUGUGGAUCCAACAAACACGAUAUUUGUGGAUACAGGCUUUUAUGAAGACCUGAAGAGGGAGUUUGCUAUACUACAUCCCAAUGACCCUCAAGGUUACCAAGUUUCUGAAAAGUGUUAGUAUCUAAGGUGGAAAGUACCUAAGGUGCUUCUUUCUCGGGUCAAUGGGACACACAAUCCAUAUUCUCGUUCAUGGUUGGAUGCGGAUUACAUUGUGACAAUUUGCAAUGUUGAUAAUCAUUGGGUCACUAUCCGCAUUAACCUUAUUGAUUGGGUUGUCGAGUUGCACGACUCCAAGGCGCAUGAAUACAAUAUACAUAAUCAAGACUUAUGGUUUGAGCGCAUGGUCCAAAUGAAGCCCGUGACUCGCUUGUUUCCAAAGCUUUUGAACAAAGGAGGAUUCUGGGGAAAAAGAACAAGCCUCACUAAAAAGAUGGACUUCCUUACAUUGGUGACUGUUCCUUCCACCGAGCAAUUCGUUCAGCAAGAUUCUGUAAGUUGUGGUGUUUAUGCCUGCAUGUACUUGGAUCGAAUUACCACAGGUCAUCCACGUACUAGACAGGUAGACGAUAGUGUUGCUCACACAUUUCGGUUGAAGAUAGCUCGUCGAGUUUGGAGCUUGUGUUUGGCAUAGUAGUUGUUAUUAUGGAUUGAUUAUGUUAUUGUUUUGGAAAAUGUUUUAGACGAUGCAGUUAUCAUGGAUGAUUGUGCUAAUAUGUAUGUUUUGGACUGUUUUUAGACAAUGAUGUGUUUGUGUGUUGGAGCUUUUGUUGGAUGUUGGAUGAAAUUGUACUUAAAUUCUGUAAUCGUGUACUAUUUGUGUACUGAAGAAUCAGGUUUUGUGUACAAUUUCGUGUACUUGAUAACUAUGGAUGAUGCCAGGUUUCGUGUAUGUCUUUGUGUU